Ribosomal RNA from Mustela putorius furo (domestic ferret), 111 nucleotides. The record is from Ensembl. NCBI's taxonomy places the organism in Eukaryota, Metazoa, Chordata, Mammalia, Carnivora, Mustelidae.
GUCUACGGCCAUACCACCCUGAACGCGCCCGAUCUCGUCUGAUCUCGGAAGCUAAGCAGGGUCGGGCCUGGUUAGUACUUGGAUGGGAGGAAAGUAUACAAACUAAGGAUC